UGGGCACGUUGGGGGUGCCGCGCCGCUGUCCGGCUGGCUGAGAGAGUCCCUUCGAACCUGUACGGGUCAUGCCGUCGUAGGGAAGCGGAGCGCAUCUGGU
RNAcentral lists this non-coding RNA (100 nucleotides) under Candidatus Accumulibacter. RNAcentral describes it as "TPP sequence". It matches the Rfam family "TPP riboswitch aptamer (THI element)". Rfam says of the family: Vitamin B(1) in its active form thiamin pyrophosphate (TPP) is an essential coenzyme that is synthesised by coupling of pyrimidine and thiazole moieties in bacteria. The previously detected thiamin-regulatory element, thi box was extended, resulting in a new, highly conserved RNA secondary structure, the THI element, which is widely distributed in eubacteria and also occurs in some archaea. Lineage: Bacteria; Pseudomonadati; Pseudomonadota; Betaproteobacteria. The record is from RNAcentral.